AUCUCACCAUAAAAAAAUACCAUUGGCUUUUGCUGGUUUCCUCACCCAAAACCACCAGCAGGAAGCCUUUAGCCUCAGGUUUUUUCCUAAACUUUUGGCAUUCUCACCUAUAUAACCAAACCCCAUCCUCCCAUCGGAUUCAUCAAAGCAUAGCUCGUGUUUUCUUACUCUCCACAAAUCCCACUACAAACUUGUUGGUUCUAUAUUACAGUAACAUAAAAAAUGAGUUCAGCGAGUAAAGCUUGGUUGGUUGCCGCUGCUAUCGGAGGUGUUGAGGCGUUGAAAGAUCAAGGGUUCUGUAGGUGGAACUACACCUUGAGAUCCCUACACCACCAUGCCAAGAACCAUGUCAGAUCAGCCUCUCAGGCCAAGAAGCUUUCUUCUUCAUCCUCAGCCAUGAUCUCAAAUAUAGUCAAGGAAGAGAAGGCAAAACAGUCAGAGGAGUCUUUAAGAAAAGUCAUGUACUUGAGUUGUUGGGGUCCAAACUAAAGUAAUGAAUCUAGGAGAUGAAAUCGAGGGACUUAGUUUAUAGGAGUAAAUCGUAGCAAGCUUAUGCAAAUUGUAAAUUUUGAUGCUCAUUUGAUGAAAUCGAACAUUAUCGCAUGUUUCUACCAUUUCUUUUGGUAACGCGCAGUGCAUUUCCCUAGUGAGUAAAUUUAACAAAGCUCUUUUCUAGUUUUCAAGUGGAAUAAACAGGCAAUUAAUUUCAAUAUGAGAUAUGAAAUUCAACUCGAGGCUAAAAUCUCUUUCUCCCCACAUCCUCAAAUGGAUAAAAAGGCUACAUGAAAAACGAAAACCUCAAAUUGGAUUUGACCCCAAAGAAAAUCCAUUUUGCUGUAAAAUUCUCAGUCACUGAUCUCAACAGGAGUGAUCGUUGUGUGAAAAAUGGAACAUAAGCUUGUACUAUCAGAUAAAUUUAUUAAUAAGUAAGAUUGGAUUAGCUUCAAUAAGGAAUUAUAAUUACGAAAGCUAAAUCUUUUAAAUUUUAGAGCAAUUAGAAAUCAAAGAGUUACAUGGUUAUUAAUUUAAAAAUUCAUAAAAUUAAUUAAAAAAUAUAUGAAUUGAUUAGAACACCUAUAUUAAUUAAAAAAAAUAAUAGGAAUGAUGCUGAUUCAAAAUUAAUGUUCAUUCUUAAAUCACUCUUACAAGCUCACUAGAAUCUCUCUAUGUUAAACCCAAAUGAAAACAAAAAACUAAAAAUAUGAGCGUUUAUUUUCAGAAAAACAAAUGGUCGUGAGACCAACACAAUUUUUGCCUAAAUUUCUUUUCAAGCGCUAAUAGUUAGCAUUAGUGGAAAGCUACCUCCAAGAAUAUGGCAUGUGGCAUUCCUCGACUCUAAUUUGGCCUUUGUUGGAUUUUUUUGUUUAACAAAACGGUGUGCUCGUGAGAAGAUAGAGACAAAGUUGAUUUGUCGCAUGUCAUGCACAAAUUAAAAAAUCCACUAACGCAUCAUGUCAUAAAAAAUACCGUUGGCCUUUGCUGGUUUCCUCCCUCGAAACCACCACCAAGAAGCCUUUAGCCUAUGGUUUUUCUCCUACACUUUUGGUACACUCACCUAUAUAACCAAACCCCUUUACUCCCCUUUACUUCAUCAAAUCAUAGCUCCUGAUAUCUUAAUCUCUACAAAUCCCACUUCAAAGAGUUUCCAACUCGUUGGUUCUAUAUUACAGUAACACAGAAAAUGAGUUCAGCAAGCAAAGCUUGGUUGGUUGCAGCAGCUGUUGGAGGUGUUGAGGCCUUGAAAGACCAAGGGUUCUGCAGGUGGAACUACACCUUGAGAUCCCUCCACCAACAUGCCAAGAACCAUGUCAGAUCAGCCUCUCAGGCCAAGAAGCUUUCUUCUUCAUCCUCUGCCAUGAUCUCGAAUAAAAUCAAGGAAGUGAGAGCAAAACAGUCUGAGGAAUCUCUAAGAAAAGUCAUGUAUUUGAGCUGUUGGGGCCCUUACUAAGCAAAGAAGCAAGAACAGAGAUUGAGGAAAUUAUCGUGAUAGGAUUACCCUGAUUGUUGCAAGUCGAUGUAAAUAUUUGUAAAUUUUGUUGCUGACUUAAUGGAAUCAAACAAUAUUAUUCUUGGAUUAGUUUUUCCUUGCACCUUUUAUGUUUUCCCACUUCUUUUGGUAGCACCUCAUGUCACAGGUGAAAACUAAAGGGAUCAUGACAAGGUUCAAUUUUAGUGCAUCACAGCAUUUGCUAAGGAUAUUUAAAUUAAUUGCAACCCCAAGCUAAAUAUCUAAUUUGGUUUAAAAAGUAUUUUAAAAAAUCAGCAACUCAACUGGAGGAGGGGUUGUAUCGCAAAAGCUAAAUAUCUUGAUAGGUUGACAAAUUAGUGCAAAUCUUAAACUGGAAUUCUCAAUUUCAAUCUGGCCCAGAAGAAAAUUAGUUUAGGAGUAUUUCUUCACUCACAAGUGUUUUUUUUAAUAUUAUAUUUUAUAAUUUUUUAGUUGAAUAUUGAAUUCUUUAAUAGUUAAGUUUCAUAUUUUUAUUUAGUUUUUUUUUUUACUUUUUUAAUUAUUUUUUGCCAUGAAUAAUCUUUUGAAUAAAUAUAAAAUUUAUUUCUAGCAACAAAAUUACUAGAUAUAAUUGAGUAAUAACGCAUAAUUAAAUAUUUUAAUCUUAUUAAAUAUUUUAAUCAAAUAUUAAUUCAUUCAAUUAAAUACAUGCAUAAAUAUUGUAAUAUAUAAUUGAGAAUUUUUUAUAUUAACAACCUCAUGAAAAACUUAAUUAUUAUUUUUUUUUUUUACUAAAAAGGAUAUAUAAUCCUCUACGAAGUGCUGUUGAAAUAGUUUACAUACAGUCCUCAUUGUGCAUGGUGAAUAUUUUGCAGGAGAUUCCCGGAUCAUUAAACAACUUCAUCAUUUAAAUGAUGAAUGCAGAGAGGUAUUUAUGGUGCAGCUUGGAUUCAGUUCAAAGAGAUCCAAUAUAUGUUUCCUUGCUUCGUCCAGAUGAAGGUUACGUUUGUGUGAUUGUGGAUGGCAGCUCUCAUGGGCAAUCCAGGCGUGUCUGGAUUUGGGGAACUGGUUUGAAACAAUGACAGUCACCGGAUGGCGGGUUUCUUGGGUUUUUGUGGUUUUGGAUUGAAUCUUCUUCCGGAACUUCUGGCAAUUAAACAUGGCUUAGCUGAAGCAUAGGAUAGAGGCCAUAGGAGGAUCAUUAUCGAUUCUCAAGAGGCAAUCAAGCUUACAAAAGAGAAGAAUUCUAAAUUUCAUAAAUUGGAUGCGGUUAUAUGUAGAUGUCAAGUUUUUUUGGCUAAGCAUGAUGUAAAGAAUCAUGAUUUGUUCCAGGUGUGGGACAUUCCUUCUCCGGGGCUACACUCUCUCCUUAUGACCGAUUCGUUGGUUCGUUGGGUUUCAAUUUUAGAAGAGUUUUUUAGUUUGUGUCAUUUAAUUUUCACUGCAUCAAAAAAAAAAAAAAUUCCUAACUAUUACUUCAACUUUCUUGCUUAUUAGCAAUCAUACAACAACAGCAGCAACAAGUAACAGCAUCACUUGUCUUUCAUCCUUUUACAGUUCCAUAACACCAAAACAGCUUUGUGAAUACAUGUUUAACCGUAAAAUAAAAUACGAAAAAAGAUGAAUUUUAAGAGAGAGAGAGAGAGGCUCUCAACUUUAUUUUAUAUUAAAGAAAACGAAAAGGAGAAGCAUGCAUUUUGACAUUUGUUUAUCCUCAGUCCCACACUUUCUUUCAGUCCUUACAAGUGGCAAAAAUGAGAAGUGCCACCAAAUUGUGACAUGCAUGACUCACCACCCUUCAGCUAUGCUCCUCCUUAUACGGUGGCUAGGAUUUAUUUAUUUUACGAAGCAAAACCAUGUGCUCAUUUCAAGGCAGGCAGAGAAGCUUUUGGCUUGUUGUGGAGUAAAGGGCAAAAAAAUCUAGCCAUCCCAAGAACCCGAUUUUGUCCCCACUUUCUUAUUGUCACCAUGUGGUAGUUGAAUGUUAAUACAGCCAUCUCACCAUAAAAAAUUACCAUCGGCUUUUGCUGGUUUCCUCACCCAAAACAACCAGCAGGAAGCCUUUAGCCUCAGGUUUUUUCCUCAACUUUUGGCAUUCUCACCUAUAUAACCAAACCCCAUCCUCCCAUCGGAUUCAUCAAAGCAUAGCUCGAGCUUUCUUACUCUCUACAAAUCCUACUACAAACUUGUUGGUUCUAUAUUACAGUAACAUAAAAAAUGAGUUCAGCGAGUAAAGCUUGGUUGGUUGCCGCUGCUAUCGGAGGUGUUGAGGCGUUGAAAGAUCAAGGGUUCUGUAGGUGGAACUACACAUUGAGAUCCCUCCACCACCAUGCCAAGAACCAUGUCAGAUCAGUCUCUCAGGCCAAGAAGCUUUCUUCUUCGUCCUCAGCCAUGAUCUCAAAUAUAGUCAAGGAAGAGAAGGCAAAACAGUCAGAGGAGUCUUUAAGAAAAGUCAUGUACUUGAGUUGUUGGGGUCCAAACUGAAGCUAUGAAUCUAGUAGAUGAAAUCGAGGGACUUAGUUUAUAGUUUAUAGGAGUAAAUCCUUGCAAGCUUAUGCAAAUUGUAAAUUUUGAUGCACAUUUUCUGAAAUCGAACAUUAUCACAUGUUUUUAUCAUUUCUUUUGGUAGCGCGAGUGCAUUUCCCUAGUGAGUAAAUUUAACAAAGCUCUUUUCUAGUUUUCUAGUGGAAUAAACAGGCAAUUAAUUUCAUUUAAUUUCAAUAUGAGAUAUGAAAUUCAACUGGAGGUUAAAAUCUCUUUCUCCCCACAUCCUCAGAUGGAUAAAAAGGCUAUCUCAAAUUGGAUUUGACCCCAAAGAAAAUCCAUUUUGUUGUAAAAUUCUCAGUCACUAAUCACAACAGGAGUGAUCAUUGUGUGAAAAAUGGAAGAGGACCUUGUACCAUCACAUAAAUUUAUUAAUAAGUAAGAUUGGAUCGAAUUCUUUUGAUAUUUAAAAAUACAGAAUUAUGUCUUUUUCUAUGUCAAAGUGUGCAGUUCAAGAAACUAGGAACGAUGCUGAUUCAAAAUUAAUGUUCAUUCUUAGAUCACUCUUACAAGCUCACUAGAAUCUCUCUCUGUUAAACCCAAAUGAAAAGAAAAAACUAAAAAUAUGAGCGUUUAUUUUCAGAAAUACAAAUGGUCUUGACCAAUACAAUUUUUGCCUAAAUUUCUAUUCAAGCGCUAAUAGUUAACAUUAAUGGAAAGCGACCUGCAUAUGACCUUCUUGCAGAAAGAAAACAACUGAACUUUUAACUUCCAUGCAUCAUAGCCAUUAAACCUGGCAUAGAUUAGAUUAGCAAAGCUGAGUCUGAAAACAAAUCCUCACAGAAAUCUGAAAACAUAAAACUAAAGUUAUUGUUUUAAUUAUUUUUCUAAUUAAUUUUAAAUUAUAAUUAUUUAUUUUCUAUUUAAUUUAUGCUAGAUGGAUUAUAUUAAUUAGAAUUUUUUUUAACUAUAAAUCCUUUUUUAUAACAAAUUUUAGAAUUAAUAUAAAUAGAAAUAUGUAGUUUAUUUUUAUAGAGAUAAAAACUAUUAUUUAUAUUUAAUAAAAAUAUAUAAAAAAUUAAAAUUUCUGAAAAGUUUAAUCUACAAUUUUAGAACUUGAAGUCUAGUUUUAUUUUGGCUAUAGUCUGUGUCAUGACUUAAACUGUCUAGUUUUUUACUGAACUGUAUUAAAUAUUAAUUUAGUAAAAUUCGAAUUGGAUUGGCUUGCGAGUUAAUCUAAUGAUCGAUUAAGUGGCCGUUUGGAUUUGCUGCAGCGGUUGCGGUUGAAAUGAAAAUAUGCAAUAUAGUGUUUGGUUAACACCAACCAUGUUUUUUAUUGAUGUGGGUCCCAGUCCAAAACUAAGGCUGGACUUCAGUUUUUGAAAAGCAAUUACCAAUUGCUUUUCAUGCGUUUUGCCCUCUCUUUCAUCGCCGACACUUUCCUCUUGUUUUCCCAACGAUCCCAACUCCUGUCCUUGAUUUUUAUGUUUCAACUCUCACAGCCUAUCCAUUUCCAAACCUCAGCAGCUUAGGAAAGAGAAAAGCUCACAAUCUGUUUUUUUUGAAAAGGUUUAUUCUACCCAUAUAACUUAUAAUUUUUUAUCGCCUUGUUAUUAAUAUGGGGUUUAAUUUUUAUUUUAUUCUACGACUGUCUAUUUUUAAAAAAAUUAUUUAAUCUAUCUUUUUUAAAUAGCAAUUAUUCUUAUAUAUAUUUUUAGUUUUAUAAUGUACCAAAGAAGUUAUUGUAAUUUAUCUUUAUUUUUUUUCUUUUAUAUUUGAUUAAAAAAAUAACCUCUAAGAUAAAAAAAAAAACAAAAAAAAACAUAUGAAUUAAAAAAAAAGUUAGGUCAAAUAUUUUAAUGCUUAUUGUAUUUUGUUUUUAUGAAAGAUAUUAAUUUUUUUAUUUUAAUAUUUAAUUACCAUUAACAAAUUUUUCUCAACUUAUCACUUCUUAGAUUUUUAUAUUUAUUUUAUUAAAUUUAAAUAAAAACUUAACAUUUUUCAAUUAAAAAAAUUCACAAUACAAUAAAAUGCAUUUACAAAAUUGGCGUUUAUUAAAAAAAUUCAUUUCUUUUGAAAAGUGCUUUUUGAAUCAUAAUUUUACCAAACACAAAACUGCUUUUUUUUUCUACCACAAUUUAAACCACAGUUUUUUAACCAAACACAAGAAACUGUUUUUUUUAAAACCACAACUCCAACCACAGUUUUAACCAAACACUAACUUUUUUUGAAAUCAAUCUCACAAAAAAUACUUUUUAUUAAACUAUUCUUUUCAAACCAUAAUUAUAAAAGCUACCACAAUACUAAACACAUUCAGUAAGGGAAAAAAAAAAAAAAACAAAAGAAAGAAAGCAUGCAGUUUCCUAGACGGUCCUGCUACCUUAAUUGAUACAGUUUCAUGCGUAUGAGCCUCCAAGAACAUGGCAUGUGGCAUUCCUCACCUCUAAUUUGGGCUUAGUUGGAUAUUUUUUUUAAGCAAAACGGUGUGCUCGCGGGAAGAUAGAGACAAGGUUGAUCUGUCGAUUGUUAUGAAUAAAUUAAAAAAUCUACACCCACCCCAUUUUAUCCCAACUUAUUUAAUGAAUCCAGUCGUCUACUAAGACAAUAGAUGCAUCAUGUCAUCAAAAAUACCGUUGGCCUUCGCUGGUUUCCUCACUCAAAACCACCACGAAGAAGCCUUGAGCCUCUGGUUUUUCUCCUACACUUUUGGUACACUCACCUAUGUAACCAAACCCCCUUACUCUCAUUUACUUCAUCAAAUCAUAGCUCCUGAUAUCUUAAUCUCUCCAAAUCCAACUUCAAAGAGUUUCCAACUCGUUGGUUCUAUAUUACAGUAACAGAGAAAAUGAGUUCAGCAAGCAAAGCGUGGUUGGUUGCAGCAGCUGUUGGAGGUGUUGAGGCGUUGAAAGAUCAAGGGUUCUGUAAAUGGAACUACACCUUAAGAUCGCUGCACCAACAUGCCAAGAACCAUGUCAGAUCAGCCUCUCAGGCCAAGAAGCUUUCUUCUUCAUCUUCUGCCAUGAUCUCGAAUAAAGUCAAGGAAGUGAAAGCAAAACAGUCUGAGGAAUCUCUAAAAAAAGUCAUGUAUUUGAUCAGCUGCUGGGGUCCUUACUAAAGCUAAGAAGCAAGAUGAAAUUGAGAAACUUAUCGUGAUAGGAUUACCCUGAUCGUUGCAAGUUGAUGUAAAUAUUUGUAAAUUUUGGUGCUGACUUAAUGGAAUCAAACUAUAUUAUUUUUUCAUUAAUUUUUCCUUGCACCAUUUAUUUUUUCUGUUUUCCC
RNAcentral lists this long non-coding RNA (7711 nucleotides) under Populus tremula. Its description in RNAcentral is "long non-coding RNA (PTRE_LNC001600)". Lineage: Eukaryota; Viridiplantae; Streptophyta; Magnoliopsida; Malpighiales; Salicaceae. The record is from RNAcentral.